Molecule: long non-coding RNA, 310 nt
Organism: Pezoporus flaviventris
Lineage: Eukaryota; Metazoa; Chordata; Aves; Psittaciformes; Psittacidae
Exons: 3
Source: RefSeq, a predicted model, not a curated record
GAAGUCUUGUCAUUGUGGAAAGAUCCAAAGAACCAAAAUCUACCAAUGAUUGCUUCAACUGCUUUUCUGCAAGGGCACAGGUUUGUGGAGCAAGCAGCUGUUCAUUUGUUUUGUCAAUAAUGGAAAGAAGACUGGAAGAGCUGAUGACAGGGCUCGGCUGUUGCAAAGGUCUUUCUGGAGCUGAAUAGAUUUACAGCUGCUAGAGUUGGUUCCUGGAGCCCAGGUUGCUAAAGAGCAGGGUAGGAUUUUCCCUUGGCAUGAAUCGGCUGUGGGAAAGAUCAUCAAGACCUCCUACCCACAUCAGGAUUGU